UCCCUGGUGGCUCAGAGGUUAAAGCGUCUGCCUGCAAUGCUGAGGACCUGGGUUCGAUCCCUGGGUUAGGAA
RNAcentral lists this transfer RNA (72 nucleotides) under Bos taurus (domestic cattle). It matches the Rfam family "tRNA". From Rfam's summary of the family: Transfer RNA (tRNA) molecules are approximately 80 nucleotides in length. Their secondary structure includes four short double-helical elements and three loops (D, anti-codon, and T loops). The record is from Rfam by way of RNAcentral. Lineage: Eukaryota; Metazoa; Chordata; Mammalia; Artiodactyla; Bovidae.